GGUGGGGACUCUAAAGAUACUGCCCCGGUCAACGGGGAGGAAGGUGGGGAUGACGUCAAGUCCUCAUGGCCUUUAUGCCCAGGGCUACACACGUGCUACAAUGGGCUGUACAAAGGGUUGCAACAUCGCGAGAUGAAGCUAAUCCCGUAAAGCAGUUCGUAGUUCGGAUUGGAGUCUGCAGCUCGACUCCAUGAAGCUGGAAUCGCUAGUAAUCGUGGAUCAGCAUGCCACGGUGAAUACGUUCCCGGGCCUUGUACACACCGCCCGUCACAUCACGAAAGUCAGCUGCUCUUGAAGUCGCUGAGCCAACCCGCAAGGGAGGCAACUGCCCAUGGUAUGGUCGGCGAUUGGGGUGAAGUCGUAACAAGGUAGCUGUAGAGAACCUGUGGCUGGAUCACCUCCUUUCUGA
This 409-nucleotide small RNA is filed under the name uncultured bacterium. RNAcentral's name for it is "bacterial SSU rRNA". It matches the Rfam family "Bacterial small subunit ribosomal RNA", at positions 1130 to 1533 of the family's 1533-position model. The record is from RNAcentral.